AUCAAUUUUUUGGUAUUAUUUGGCCGAAUUUGCCUAAAAUUCGCAUUUGCUAAGACUUUAUAAACAUUAGCAAAGCGUUCUGUAAUAGAAUUUGCAAAAAUAAUUGAUAUUUUAAGAAAAAAUAUUCCUGUCAAAAAAGUCAGCCGAUCGGAAAGUGCUGCACUUUCCGUUCGACCAAUUUAGAAUUUUUCGAAAUUGAAGAAAAAGAAGAAAAGUGUCAUUUGAUUGUUUUGAUUUUUCUCGGGAGUGUGUAAAAUGUGUGAAAUCAUGGCUGAAAACAAACGAAAUCUUCCCUUGUGGUGCUCAACAGCUUUUCCGGUCAAGGGAAGCAUCUGAAGCUUAUGGCACAGAUGCUGCAGAAUAUUUUUCCCACAAUUAGCGUGUCCACGAAGAUAAUGCUGAAUAUUUCAAAGAGCAAGUUGAAGUGGAGCCAGAUCGGGAUCUUUUCACCCUCGUAGACCCAAAACGUCCACCCAAGUCCUUGCUGUUGAACCCAUAUCCAAGGGAAAGAACUCCAAGAGAAAACUCAACGACGGGAAAUCAGGAAAGACGAAAAUGAAGCAAAAAUCAUUCAUAAUUUCAUCCGGGAAAGCAAGAAAAAGUUGUAAAGUUAAUAAGGAGCCCAAGAAGUCCCGUAAAUAACUUUAUUUUUGAUGAAAAUAAAUAAAAGUCUUAAUUCUCUGAUCUAUGGAGCUAUGUAUUUUCCGGAAGCUCAUAAGUUCAUGCAUAGGAGAGCCCCAUGUACAGAUUGUACUCAUCGGGAAGAUCCAGAGUUUCCGGGAGUAGUAGUCUAGAUCUGAGGCGACAUCGAGGCAGAAUCUAAACAUUCGUCACUGGCAGAGGGUUUUCUUUCUCAGAUGGCAUCAUCAAUCACUUCACUCAAGCUUUACUUCCGUGGGAAAGUGGACUGCACUGGAGAUUUUUUAAUGCAAAUUCCGGGAUCGAAGAACUUACACCUCUCGUACCAUUUCCGUUUCGGUUUCUCUGGAACGACUCCGGCAAUGCAGCAACUUAUGUACUGAUAAAUAUUUCGGAUGAUUCAUAUUUUUA
Molecule: long non-coding RNA, 1050 nt
Organism: Lutzomyia longipalpis
Lineage: Eukaryota; Metazoa; Arthropoda; Insecta; Diptera; Psychodidae
Exons: 2
Source: RefSeq, a predicted model, not a curated record